RNAcentral lists this ribosomal RNA (213 nucleotides) under Clostridioides difficile. RNAcentral describes it as "partial 23S ribosomal RNA". It matches the Rfam family "Bacterial large subunit ribosomal RNA", at positions 246 to 460 of the family's 2925-position model. Lineage: Bacteria; Bacillati; Bacillota; Clostridia; Peptostreptococcales; Peptostreptococcaceae. The record is from RNAcentral.
GCGGCGAGCGAACGCGGAUUAGCCCAAACCAAUAAAGUUUUCUUUAUUGGGGUUGCGGACAUAUCAUAACGAAGAGGUAUCGUAAUUGAAGAGGUUUGGAAAGACCUACCACAGAAGGUAAUAGUCCUGUAUGUUAAACGAGAAGACUUUAGAUAUGAUCCAGAGUACCACGGGACACGUGAAACCCUGUGGGAAGCAGGAGGGACCACCCUC